This 585-nucleotide long non-coding RNA is filed under the name Homo sapiens (human). RNAcentral describes it as "GREM1 antisense RNA 1 (GREM1-AS1)". Lineage: Eukaryota; Metazoa; Chordata; Mammalia; Primates; Hominidae. The record is from RNAcentral.
GCCGGUCCGCGAGCGCGUGUGGUGUCUGCCUUGUGAGCACUGCGGGUUCGCUGGACCCCGCGGCCAGGGCCGCGCCCCGCACCGCAGCUGUCGGAUUACCCACCGUUCGGUUUUCCGCUGUGGCUGAACACAGCGGCUCUGCCCUUGCCAGUCUCCAUCUCACCUCGGGGAUCGGCAAAUGCACACAUCAUGGAUUCUCCGGAUGCUCCAACCCGCGGACUCCAAUGGGCGCCCCAAGACGCCCCCAGACCCAGCGCGGCGCCCCAAGCACAUGGGACCCUCUCAAGGCAACUCGCCGCGCAGUCAGCGGCCGACUAGCAGACCCAGAGCAGCGAGGUCACGGUGUCCGCGGCCUCAGCAGGAAGGACCCCGCGAUGGUUCUUCACAAUUCACCCCCGCGAACAACGCACCCGAGCCUGCGCGCACGGAGGGCUGCCGCGCGUGGAACUGAGCGGGUCCUGGGUUGGUUUGCGGCCCUCUUCCCUCCGCCCACUCACAUCCCUGCCGGGUGCGUCCGCGCUCACCUGUCAGUGCGGCGGGUCCUCGGGGCCUGCGCUUUCGACGCGUGGCGCUGAGUGCGGCCGC